GUUGAAAUAGCUCAGUUGGUUAGAGUGCUGGUCUGUCACGCCAGAAGUCGCGGGUUCGAACCCCGUUUCCGCCC
RNAcentral lists this transfer RNA (74 nucleotides) under Triticum aestivum (bread wheat). It matches the Rfam family "tRNA". From Rfam's summary of the family: Transfer RNA (tRNA) molecules are approximately 80 nucleotides in length. Their secondary structure includes four short double-helical elements and three loops (D, anti-codon, and T loops). Further hydrogen bonds mediate the characteristic L-shaped molecular structure. tRNAs have two regions of fundamental functional importance: the anti-codon, which is responsible for specific mRNA codon recognition, and the 3' end, to which the tRNAs corresponding amino acid is attached (by aminoacyl-tRNA synthetases). tRNAs cope with the degeneracy of the genetic code in two manners: having more than one tRNA (with a specific anti-codon) for a particular amino acid; and 'wobble' base-pairing, i.e. permitting non-standard base-pairing at the 3rd anti-codon position. Lineage: Eukaryota; Viridiplantae; Streptophyta; Magnoliopsida; Poales; Poaceae. RNAcentral also lists the same sequence under 1 other name. The record is from Rfam by way of RNAcentral.